Molecule: long non-coding RNA, 607 nt
Filed under: Callithrix jacchus (white-tufted-ear marmoset)
Lineage: Eukaryota; Metazoa; Chordata; Mammalia; Primates; Cebidae
Description: lncRNA (ENSCJAG00000074602.1)
Source: RNAcentral
AGUCUCUCUUUUUAUGAAGUGUAUUCUAAUUUCUGGUUCUAAAUGAAAGAAAGUACAUAUAUCAUCAUAUGAUUUUUGCAAACUAAUAUUUGAUAUGAUUUAAAAAUUAAAUAGACUAGAUUGAAUUUCUUAAUUUAUUUAUUCUGUACAAUUUAAGUACAAGGAUAAUUUUAAUCAGUCUUUCUAUAUUUCUUAAUUAGCUCAUCCUUCCCUAAUUAUUACAUUAGCUGAAGUUUUCAUUAAAGCCUUCCUGUUCCUUAUCUCUGAAGGACAGUGUCAUAAUGAAGUUGAAGGAUACAUAGAGGACUAAGGAAAUGGUAAUUUAUAAUUUAUAAUUUAAUGUGACAAGCUGACAUUUUACUUAUUAUGGUGAAGCCAUUUUAGGAGGAAGGGCAAUGCAUAUUUUAAAAAUACAUGUAGCAAUAAGUGACUUGUAAAAAUCAUAGAUGAAUACAAGUACAGCUCAACUUAUAUAUCCUUAAAUUCUUUAGCCUUCUGUGGGAUGCUGGUCCUCCUUUAGCAGUCAGCUAAAAUGUCAAGUCUUCAUUUUGUGUGAGUGCCAGAAGCCUAGUGCCCUCUCUCUUCAACUCUCGCUGCUGAUUCUUAG